RNAcentral lists this ribosomal RNA (254 nucleotides) under uncultured bacterium. RNAcentral describes it as "partial 16S ribosomal RNA". It matches the Rfam family "Bacterial small subunit ribosomal RNA", at positions 524 to 776 of the family's 1533-position model. The record is from RNAcentral.
UACGUAGGGACCAAGCGUUGUUCGGAUUUACUGGGCGUAAAGGGCGCGUAGGCGGCGUGGUAAGUCACUUGUGAAAUCUCUGAGCUUAACUCAGAACGGCCAAGUGAUACUGCUGUGCUAGAGUGCAGAAGGGGCAAUCGGAAUUCUUGGUGUAGCGGUGAAAUGCGUAGAUAUCAAGAGGAACACCUGAGGUGAAGACGGGUUGCUGGGCUGACACUGACGCUGGAGGCGCGAAAGCCAGGGGAGCAAACGGG